RNAcentral lists this ribosomal RNA (1397 nucleotides) under human gut metagenome. RNAcentral's name for it is "bacterial LSU rRNA". It matches the Rfam family "Bacterial large subunit ribosomal RNA", at positions 1539 to 2925 of the family's 2925-position model. The record is from RNAcentral.
AAUCCGCCGGACGAAUCUGAGACGCGAGUCCGUGGGCGCAAGCCCUGAAGCCGUUGAGUCUAUGCUGCCUAGAAAAGCUCCUAAGUUUAUCCACAGCAAUCCGUACCGCAAACCGACACAGGUGGGUGGGAUGAACAAUCCAAGGCGCUCGAGAGAACUCUGGCCAAGGAACUCGGCAAAAUAACCCCGUAACUUCGGAAGAAGGGGUGCUCUCUAGGGUGACAUGUUUAACAUAUGAAGCCCCGGGGAGCCGCAGUGAAUUGGUGGUGGCGACUGUUUACUAAAAACAUAGGUCUGUGCGAAGUCCUAAAGACGACGUAUACGGACUGACGCCUGCCCGGUGCUGGAAGGUUAAAAGGAGGGGUCAGCGCAAGCGAAGCUCCGAAUUGAAGCCCCAGUAAACGGCGGCCGUAACUAUAACGGUCCUAAGGUAGCGAAAUUCCUUGUCGGGUAAGUUCCGACCUGCACGAAUGGCGUAACGAUCUCCACACUGUCUCGGCCAGAGACUCGGUGAAAUUGCAGUCGCGGUGAAAAUUCCGUGUACCCGCAGAAAGACGGAAAGACCCUGUGCACCUUUACUAUAGCUUGACAUUGGAUUUUGGGCCUGCAUGUGUAGGAUAGGUGGGAGGCUGUGAACCCUGUACGCCAGUAUGGGGGGAGCCAUCCUUGAAAUACCACCCUUGCAUGUUUAAGAUCCUAACUUCUUCCGGUUAUCCCGGAGAAAGACAGUGUCUGGCGGGUAGUUUGACUGGGGCGGUCGCCUCCUAAAGUGUAACGGAGGCAUGCAAAGGUUCCCUCAGCCUGAUCGGAAACCAGGCGCUGAGUGCAAACGCAUAAGGGAGCUUGACUGUAAGAGAGACAUCUCGAACAGGAACGAAAGUUGGCGUUAGUGAUCCGGUGGUCCCGAAUGGAAGGGCCAUCGCUCAUUGGAUAAAAGGUACGCCGGGGAUAACAGGCUGAUCGCAUCCAAGAGUUCACAUCGACGAUGCGGUUUGGCACCUCGAUGUCGGCUCAUCACAUCCUGGGGCUGAAGCAGGUCCCAAGGGUACGGCUGUUCGCCGUUUAAAGUGGUACGCGAGCUGGGUUUAAAACGUCGUGAGACAGUUUGGUCCCUAUCUUCUGUGGGCGAAGGAGAAUUGAGAGGGCCUGUCCCUAGUACGAGAGGACCGGGAUGGACGCACCCCUGGUGAUCCUGUUGUCGCGCCAGCGGCAUAGCAGGGUAGCUAUGUGCGGAAGGGAUAACCGCUGAAAGCAUCUAAGCGGGAAGCCUGCCUCAAGAUAAGUUCUCCCCUCGAAAGAGCUGAAGGGCCCGGGUAGACUACCCGGUCGAUAGGCUGCAGGUGUAAGCGCGGCGACGUGCUCAGCUGACCAGUACUAAUAGCCCGAGCGGCUUAUUU